AUAGUUAGCUGGCAGCAGAAAUACCUGAUCUUGAAGGGGCUUUCUCCAGGGCAAAAACUUGUCCAUUGCUUUCAUGUGGUGCUGAACUCCGUGAUUUCCUUACUAGUGGGAAACUUGACUUCAGAAUUUCUGCUUGAUAAUCCCUAGAUAGUAA
Molecule: small nuclear RNA, 154 nt
Organism: Bison bison bison
Lineage: Eukaryota; Metazoa; Chordata; Mammalia; Artiodactyla; Bovidae
Gene: U1
Rfam family: U1 spliceosomal RNA
About the family: U1 is a small nuclear RNA (snRNA) component of the spliceosome (involved in pre-mRNA splicing). Its 5' end forms complementary base pairs with the 5' splice junction, thus defining the 5' donor site of an intron.
Source: Ensembl